Molecule: long non-coding RNA, 784 nt
Organism: Daphnia pulicaria
Lineage: Eukaryota; Metazoa; Arthropoda; Branchiopoda; Diplostraca; Daphniidae
Exons: 3
Source: RefSeq, a predicted model, not a curated record
AAUACAAUCCGACAACGCUGUUAGCCGGUCUAAUAUUGAAAAUAUGAAACGCCACAAGUGUUGCUCGUUCAGUUUUCGGUCGACGCCAACAUACACGUUUAAGAGAUCCGCUGCGUCCAAAAAACCAAACGUCCACCCGAAAAAGUGUAUGUAACUUUGUGGCCACCAGAAACCCCCAGCCAUUGUGUGUCAGUGUCUUGUGCCAAGAACGUGUGUAACAUUCGGGUUUCUCUUCGUUCCAGUGAAUUGUUGAUUCUGUGGUGCGUCUUGUGACUUGUAAAAGUGUGUGACUUGAACAGCCGACGUUCGCCAUUUCACUUCUCUUUGUACGACACACACGUUCACACACGUGGACAGGCCCAUUUUCCCCCUCGUGCAGCCACUAUAGCAAGGCAGAAGCGACACAAGGGGACCAAAAGCCACCGAAAACAAAAUCCCAAAUCGCCACAAUCGUUAGCCUCCAAAUAGGCCAUGAAAUCCGUAUCCACGGCUUCCAUAAGAACUCUAAGUUCUUUAAAUCGAGGUAACAUAUUGACAGCUGGAUCUCCCUGGAAGUUCUACUAACUAAUUUAUUUCCAAUAUGAGCUUUCCCUGGCCAUUCCACAUCUAUUGGAUUUUUAUUUUCCUUACCAAAGACUGCUAUCAUCGUCGAUCCAACCAUAACCGACAGAAAAAUGAUGAGACACAAAAUGUCUUUGCAUGACCUUUCUCUUGUAACAAAUUGAUCGUGUGCCAUUAUUUGUGGAUUGACUGGAUUCUAAAGAAAAAUAAGUAUAAAAAAAAU